This 433-nucleotide ribosomal RNA is filed under the name uncultured bacterium. Its description in RNAcentral is "partial 16S ribosomal RNA". It matches the Rfam family "Bacterial small subunit ribosomal RNA", at positions 29 to 507 of the family's 1533-position model. The record is from RNAcentral.
AACGAACGCUGGCGGCAUGCCUAACACAUGCAAGUCGAACGAGACCUUCGGGCUUAGUGGCGCACGGGUGCGUAACGCGGGGGAACCUGCCCUUAGGUUCGGCAUAACUCCCCGAAAGACGUGCUAAUACCGGCUAAUGUACUCCGACCAUAGAUUUGACGCCUUUGGGUGGGCUUGAGUUGGCUUAGUUGGUUGGUAGGGUAAAAGCCUCUCAAUGGGUCGUUACAUAGCUGGGCUGAGAGGAGGAUCAGCGACACUGGGACUGAGACACGGCCCAGACUCCUACGGGAGGCGGGAGUGGGGGAUACUGGACAGUGGGGGGAGGCCUGAACCAGCAAGGCCGCGUGAGUGAUGAAGGCCUUAGGGUUGUAAAGCUCUUUUACCCGGGAUGAUAAUGACAGUACCGGGAGAAUAAGCACCGGCUAACUCCGUG